UUUCCGUAGGUGAACCUGCGGAAGGAUCAUUAAGAAUUGAUAAUAUUUGUGAAAUUUACACAGCAAACAAUAAUUUUAUAAUCAAAACAAAAAUAAUCAAAACUUUUAACAAUGGAUCUCUUGGUUCUCGUAUCGAUGAAGAACGCAGCGAAACGCGAUAUUUCUUGUGAAUUGCAGAAGUGAAUCAUCAGUUUUUGAACGCACAUUGCACUUUGGGGUAUCCCCCAAAGUAUACUUGUUUGAGCGUUGUUUCUCUCUUGGAAUUGCAUUGCUUUUCUAAAAUUUCGAAUCAAAUUCGUUUGAAAAACAACACUAUUCAACCUCAGAUCAAGUAGGAUUACCCGCUGAACUUAAGCAUA
RNAcentral lists this unclassified non-coding RNA (359 nucleotides) under Geotrichum candidum. RNAcentral's name for it is "sequence contains 18S rRNA gene, ITS1, 5.8S rRNA gene and ITS2". The stretch from base 101 to 249 matches the Rfam family "5.8S ribosomal RNA". The record is from RNAcentral. Lineage: Eukaryota; Fungi; Ascomycota; Dipodascomycetes; Dipodascales; Dipodascaceae.